GACGAACGCCGCGGCGUGCUUAACACAUGCAAGUCGAACGUGAUUUUUGUGGAAAGCUCUUCGGGGACGGAAGCGAAAUGAAAGUGGCGAACGGGUGAGUAACACGUGAGCAACCUACCUUACACAGGGGGAUAGCCGUUGGAAACGACGAUUAAUACCGCAUGAGACCACAGUACUGCAUGGUAUAGGGGUCAAAGAUUUAUCGGUGUAAGAUGGGCUCGCGUCUGAUUAGCUAGUUGGAAGGGUAAAGGCCUACCAAGGCAACGAUCAGCAGCCGGUCUGAGAGGAUGAACGGCCACAUUGGAACUGAGACACGGUCCAAACUCCUACGGGAGGCAGCAGUGGGGAAUAUUGCACAAUGGGGGGAACCCUGAUGCAGCGACGCCGCGUGAGCGAAGAAGGUUUUCGAAUCGUAAAGCUCUGUCCUAUGAGAAGAUAAUGACGGUAUCAUAGGAGGAAGCCCCGGCUAAAUACGUGCCAGCAGCCGCGGUAAUACGUAUGGGGCGAGCGUUGUCCGGAAUUAUUGGGCGUAAAGGGUACGUAGGCGGCCUUUUAAGUCAGGUGUGAAAGCGUGAGGCUUAACCUCAUUAAGCACUUGAAACUGGAAGGCUUGAGUGAAGGAGAGGAAAGUGGAAUUCCUAGUGUAGCGGUGAAAUGCGUAGAUAUUAGGAGGAAUACCGGUGGCGAAGGCGACUUUCUGGACUUUUACUGACGCUCAGGUACGAAAGCGUGGGGAGCAAACAGG
RNAcentral lists this ribosomal RNA (745 nucleotides) under uncultured Parvimonas sp. RNAcentral's name for it is "bacterial SSU rRNA". It matches the Rfam family "Bacterial small subunit ribosomal RNA", at positions 28 to 776 of the family's 1533-position model. Lineage: Bacteria; Bacillati; Bacillota; Tissierellia; Tissierellales; Peptoniphilaceae. The record is from RNAcentral.